This 253-nucleotide ribosomal RNA is filed under the name uncultured bacterium. Its description in RNAcentral is "partial 16S ribosomal RNA". It matches the Rfam family "Bacterial small subunit ribosomal RNA", at positions 524 to 776 of the family's 1533-position model. The record is from RNAcentral.
UACGUAGGGUGCAAGCGUUAAUCGGAAUUACUGGGCGUAAAGCGUGCGCAGGCGGUUUUGUAAGUUUGUCGUGAAAUCCCCGGGCUUAACCUGGGAAUUGCGAUGAAGACUGCAAGGCUAGAAUCUGGCAGAGGGGGGUAGAAUUCCACGUGUAGCAGUGAAAUGCGUAGAGAUGUGGAGGAACACCGAUGGCGAAGGCAGCCCCCUGUGUCAAGAUUGACGCUCAUGCACGAAAGCGUGGGGAGCGAACAGG